Molecule: small RNA, 125 nt
Filed under: Marmota monax (woodchuck)
Lineage: Eukaryota; Metazoa; Chordata; Mammalia; Rodentia; Sciuridae
Source: RNAcentral
GCUGGGCAUGGUAGCGCAUGCCUGUAAUCUCAGCAGCUCAGGAGGCUGAGGCGGGAGGAUCACAAAUUCAAAGCUAGCCUUAGCAAUGGUGAGGUGCUAAGCAACUCAGUGAAACCCUGUUUCUA